AACUGACGCUGAGGCACGAAAGCGUGGGUAGCAAACAGGAUUAGAUACCCUGGUAGUCCACGCUGUAAACGAUGAUUACUAGGUGUGGGGGGUCUGACCCCUUCCGUGCCGCAGUUAACACAAUAAGUAAUCCACCUGGGGAGUACGGCCGCAAGGUUGAAACUCAAAGGAAUUGACGGGGGCCCGCACAAGCAGUGGAGUAUGUGGUUUAAUUCGAAGCAACGCGAAGAACCUUACCAGGUCUUGACAUCCUAAGAAUCCUUUAGAGAUAAGGGAGUGCCCUUCGGGGAAUUUAGAGACAGGUGGUGCAUGGUUGUCGUCAGCUCGUGUCGUGAGAUGUUGGGUUAAGUCCCGCAACGAGCGCAACCCUUACUGUUAGUUGCUACGCAAGAGCACUCUAGCAGGACUGCCGUUGACAAAACGGAGGAAGGUGGGGAUGACGUCAAAUCAUCAUGCCCCUUAUGACCUGGGCUACACACGUACUACAAUGGCCGUCAACAGAGGGCAGCAAAAUGGUGACAUGGAGCAAAUCCCUAAAAACGGUCUCAGUUCAGACUGCAGGCUGCAACCCGCCUGCACGAAGAUGGAAUGCUAGUAAUCG
Molecule: ribosomal RNA, 601 nt
Filed under: uncultured bacterium
Lineage: Bacteria
Description: bacterial SSU rRNA
Rfam family: Bacterial small subunit ribosomal RNA
Source: RNAcentral